UCUCCGUAGGUGAACCUGCGGAGGGAUCAUUACUGAGUGAGGGUCUCCGGGCCCGACCUCCAACCCCAUGUUGUUCAUACCAUGUUGCCUCGGGGGCGACCCGGCCUUCGGGCGUCGGGGCCCCCGGUGGACCACCCAACCCUGCAUCGUUGCGUCUGAGUCGAAAUAUAAAUCAAUCAAAACUUUCAACAACGGAUCUCUUGGUUCUGGCAUCGAUGAAGAACGCAGC
RNAcentral lists this unclassified non-coding RNA (229 nucleotides) under uncultured fungus. RNAcentral's name for it is "sequence contains ITS1, 5.8S rRNA gene". The stretch from base 181 to 229 matches the Rfam family "5.8S ribosomal RNA", at positions 1 to 49 of the family's 154-position model. The record is from RNAcentral. Lineage: Eukaryota; Fungi.